This 300-nucleotide ribosomal RNA is filed under the name uncultured bacterium. RNAcentral describes it as "bacterial SSU rRNA". It matches the Rfam family "Bacterial small subunit ribosomal RNA", at positions 28 to 334 of the family's 1533-position model. The record is from RNAcentral.
GAUGAACGCUGGCGGCGUGCCUAAUACAUGCAAGUCGGACGGAGCGCUUCGGCGCUCAGUGGCGAACGGGUGAGUAGCACAUGGGUAACCUGCCUCAUACAGGGGGAGUAACAGUCAGAAAUAGGCUGCUAAUACCGCAUAAGCGCACAGUACCGCAUGGUACAGUGUGAAAACUACCGGUGGUAUGAGAUGGACCCGCGUCUGAUUAGCUGGUUGGUGGGGUAACGGGCCCACCAAGGCGACGAUCAGUAGCCGGCCUGAGAGGGUGAACGGCCACAUUGGGACUGAGACACGGCCCAA